UUACGCCAAGCUAUUUAGGUGACACUAUAGAAUACUCAAGCUAUGCAUCCAACGCGUUGGGAGCUCUCCCAUAUGGUCGACCUGCAGGCGGCCGCACUAGUGAUUGUAGUCAUAUGCUUGUCUCAAAGAUUAAGCCAUGCAUGUCUAAGUAUAAGCAACUAUACGGUGAAACUGCGAAUGGCUCAUUAAAUCAGUUAUCGUUUAUUUGAUAGUACCUUACUACAUGGAUAACCGUGGUAAUUCUAGAGCUAAUACAUGCUAAAAACCUCGACUUCGGAAGGGGUGUAUUUAUUAGAUAAAAAACCAAUGCCCUUCGGGGCUCCUUGGUGAAUCAUAAUAACUUAACGAAUCGCAUGGCCUUGCGCCGGCGAUGGUUCAUUCAAAUUUCUGCCCUAUCAACUUUCGACGGCUGGGUCUUGGCCAGCCGUGGUGACAACGGGUAACGGAGUGUUAGGGCACGACACCGGAGAAGGAGCCUGAGAAACGGCUACUACAUCCAAGGAAGGCAGCAGGCGCGCAAAUUACCCAAUCCCGACACGGGGAGGUAGUGACAAUAAAUACUGAUACAGGGCUCUUUUGGGUCU
This 584-nucleotide ribosomal RNA is filed under the name uncultured Ascomycota. Its description in RNAcentral is "partial 18S ribosomal RNA". The stretch from base 95 to 584 matches the Rfam family "Eukaryotic small subunit ribosomal RNA", at positions 1 to 503 of the family's 1831-position model. The record is from RNAcentral. Lineage: Eukaryota; Fungi; Ascomycota.